UACGAAGGGGGCUAGCGUUGCUCGGAAUGACUGGGCGUAAAGGGCGCGUAGGCGGAUGGCACAGUCAGAUGUGAAAUUCCUGGGCUUAACCUGGGGGCUGCAUUUGAUACGUGUGAUCUGGAGUGAGGAAGAGGGUUGUGGAAUUCCCAGUGUAGAGGUGAAAUUCGUAGAUAUUGGGAAGAACACCGGUGGCGAAGGCGGCGACCUGGUCCUUAACUGACGCUGAGGCGCGAAAGCGUGGGGAGCAAACAGG
This 253-nucleotide ribosomal RNA is filed under the name uncultured bacterium. RNAcentral's name for it is "partial 16S ribosomal RNA". It matches the Rfam family "Bacterial small subunit ribosomal RNA", at positions 524 to 776 of the family's 1533-position model. The record is from RNAcentral.